This 253-nucleotide ribosomal RNA is filed under the name uncultured bacterium. Its description in RNAcentral is "partial 16S ribosomal RNA". It matches the Rfam family "Bacterial small subunit ribosomal RNA", at positions 524 to 776 of the family's 1533-position model. The record is from RNAcentral.
UACGGGAGUGGCAAGCGUUAUCCGGAAUUAUUGGGCGUAAAGCGUCCGCAGGCGGCCUCGUAAGUCUGUCGUUAAAGCGUGGAGCUUAACUCCAUUUCGGCGAUGGAAACUGUGAGGCUUGAGUGUGGUAGGGGCAGAGGGAAUUCCCGGUGUAGCGGUGAAAUGCGUAGAUAUCGGGAAGAACACCAGUGGCGAAGGCGCUCUGCUGGGCCAUAACUGACGCUCAUGGACGAAAGCCAGGGAAGCGAAAGGG